AACGAUAGCUAAUACCGCAUAAUAGCAGUUGUUGCAUGAUAACUGUUUGAAAGGUGCAAUUGCACCACUACCAGAUGGACCUGCGUUGUAUUAGCUAGUUGGUGGGGUAACGGCUCACCAAGGCGACGAUACAUAGCCGACCUGAGAGGGUGAUCGGCCACACUGGGACUGAGACACGGCCCAGACUCCUACGGGAGGCAGCAGUAGGGAAUCUUCGGCAAUGGACGGAAGUCUGACCGAGCAACGCCGCGUGAGUGAAGAAGGUUUUCGGAUCGUAAAGCUCUGUUGUAAGAGAAGAACGAGUGUGAGAGUGGAAAGUUCACACUGGACGGUAUCUACCAGAAAAG
RNAcentral lists this ribosomal RNA (347 nucleotides) under Streptococcus mitis. RNAcentral's name for it is "bacterial SSU rRNA". It matches the Rfam family "Bacterial small subunit ribosomal RNA", at positions 155 to 490 of the family's 1533-position model. The record is from RNAcentral. Lineage: Bacteria; Bacillati; Bacillota; Bacilli; Lactobacillales; Streptococcaceae.